This 268-nucleotide ribosomal RNA is filed under the name Enterobacter bugandensis. RNAcentral describes it as "partial 23S ribosomal RNA". Lineage: Bacteria; Pseudomonadati; Pseudomonadota; Gammaproteobacteria; Enterobacterales; Enterobacteriaceae. The record is from RNAcentral.
GGUUAAGCGACUAAGCGUACACGGUGGAUGCCCUGGCAGUCAGAGGCGAUGAAGGACGUGCUAAUCUGCGAAAAGCGACGGCGAGGUGAUAUGAACCUUUGACCCGUCGAUGUCCGAAUGGGGAAACCCAGUGUGWUUCGWCACACUAUCGUUAACUGAAUACAUAGGUUAACGAGGCGAACCGGGGGAACUGAAACAUCUAAGUACCCCGAGGAAAAGAAAUCAACCGAGAUUCCCCCAGUAGCGGCGAGCGAACGGGGAGCAGCCC